GGAGAGGUCGCAUAGUUUGGCUUAGUGCGGCGGUUUGCUAAACCGUUGUACUGCUGAAAGGCGGUACCGUGGGUUCAAAUCCCACCCUCUCCGCCA
This 96-nucleotide transfer RNA is filed under the name Candidatus Omnitrophota bacterium. Its description in RNAcentral is "tRNA-Ser". It matches the Rfam family "tRNA". From Rfam's summary of the family: Transfer RNA (tRNA) molecules are approximately 80 nucleotides in length. Their secondary structure includes four short double-helical elements and three loops (D, anti-codon, and T loops). Lineage: Bacteria; Pseudomonadati; Candidatus Omnitrophota. The record is from RNAcentral.